This 253-nucleotide ribosomal RNA is filed under the name uncultured bacterium. Its description in RNAcentral is "partial 16S ribosomal RNA". It matches the Rfam family "Bacterial small subunit ribosomal RNA", at positions 524 to 776 of the family's 1533-position model. The record is from RNAcentral.
UACGUAGGGUGCGAGCGUUGUCCGGAAUUAUUGGGCGUAAAGAGCUCGUAGGCGGUUUGUUGCGUCUAUCGUGAAAACCUGCAGCUUAACUGUGGGCUUGCGGUGGAUACGGGCAGACUUGAGUUCGGUAGGGGAGACUGGAAUUCCUGGUGUAGCGGUGAAAUGCGCAGAUAUCAGGAGGAACACCGGUGGCGAAGGCGGGUCUCUGGGCCGAUACUGACGCUGAGAAGCGAAAGCAUGGGGAGCGAACAGG